UGCCUAACACAUGCAAGUCGAACGGUAACAGGUCUUCGGAUGCUGACGAGUGGCGCACGGGUGAGUAACGCGUGGAUAUCUGCCUAUGAGUGGGGGACAACUUUCGGAAACGAAAGCUAAUACCGCAUAAUCUCUACGGAGCAAAGCAGGGGACCUUUCGGGGCCUUGUGCUUAUAGAUGAGUCCGCGUCAGAUUAGCUAGUUGGUGGGGUAAGAGCCUACCAAGGCGAUGAUCUGUAGCUGGUUUGAGAGGAUGAUCAGUCACACUGGAACUGAGACACGGUCCAGACUCCUACGGGAGGCAGCAGUGGGGAAUUUUGCACAAUGGGCGCAAGCCUGAUGCAGCGAUGCCGCGUGUGGGAAGAAGGCCUUUGGGUUGUAAACCACUUUCAAUUGGGAAGAAGGGAUGAGAAUUAAUAAUUCUCUGACUUGACGGUACCUUUAGAAGAAGCACCGGCUAAUUUCGUGCCAGCAGCCGCGGUAAUACGAAAGGUGCAAGCGUUGUUCGGAUUUACUGGGCGUAAAGAGAUCGUAGGUGGUUUGUUAAGUUGGAUGUGAAAUCCCGGGGCUCAACCUCGGAACUGCAUCCAAAACUGGCAGACUUGAGUUCGGGAGGGGUAAGCGGAAUUCCGUGUGUAGCAGUGAAAUGCGUAGAUAUACGGAGGAACACCUGAGGCGAAGGCGGCUUACUGGACCGAUACUGACACUGAGGAUCGAAAGCGUGGGUAGCAAACAGGAUUAGAUACCCUGGUAGUCCACGCCCUAAACGAUGUCAACUAGCCGUUGCGGGUAUCGACCCCUGCAGUGGCGCAGCUAACGCGAUAAGUUGACCGCCUGGGGAGUAC
Molecule: ribosomal RNA, 844 nt
Filed under: uncultured Zetaproteobacteria bacterium
Lineage: Bacteria; Pseudomonadati; Pseudomonadota; Candidatius Mariprofundia
Description: bacterial SSU rRNA
Rfam family: Bacterial small subunit ribosomal RNA
Source: RNAcentral